GAUGAACGCUGGCGGCGUGCCUAACACAUGCAAGUCGAACGGAGUCCAGCCUUUAAGACCUUCGGGUCAAAGAGGGGAAGACUGAGUGGCGGACGGGUGAGUAACACGUGGGCAACCUGGCUCAGAUAGGGGGAUAACAGAGAGAAAUUUCUGCUAAUACCGCAUAAGCACACACUGCCGCAUGGCAGAGGGUGAAAAGAGAAUCGCUAUGAGAUGGAAACGCGUCUGAUUAGCCAGUUGGCAGGGUAAGAGCCUACCAAAGCGACGAUCAGUAGCCGAUCUGAGAGGAUGAACGGCUAAAUUGGGACUGAGACACGGCCCACACUCCUACGGGAGGCAGCAGUGGGGGAUAUUGCACAAUGGGGGGAACCCUGAUGCAGCGACGCCGCGUGAGUGAAGAAGUAUUUAGGUAUGUAAAGCUCUAUCAGCAGGGAAGAUAAUGACAUUACCUGAAUCAGAAGCCCCGGCUAACUACGUG
RNAcentral lists this ribosomal RNA (478 nucleotides) under uncultured bacterium. Its description in RNAcentral is "partial 16S ribosomal RNA". It matches the Rfam family "Bacterial small subunit ribosomal RNA", at positions 28 to 507 of the family's 1533-position model. The record is from RNAcentral.